CACGUAGGGGGCGAGCGUUGUCCGGAUUUAUUGGGCGUAAAGAGCUCGUAGGCGGUUUCGUUAGUCGGGUGUGAAAACUCCAGGCUCAACCUGGAGACGCCACCCGAUACUGCGAUGACUAGAGUCCGGUAGGGGAGUGUGGAAUUCCUGGUGUAGCGGUGAAAUGCGCAGAUAUCGGGAGGAACACCUAUGGCGAAGGCAGCUCGCUGGAACGGUACUGACGCUGAGGCGCGAAAGCGUGGGGAGCGAACAGG
RNAcentral lists this ribosomal RNA (254 nucleotides) under uncultured bacterium. RNAcentral's name for it is "partial 16S ribosomal RNA". It matches the Rfam family "Bacterial small subunit ribosomal RNA", at positions 524 to 776 of the family's 1533-position model. The record is from RNAcentral.